This 615-nucleotide ribosomal RNA is filed under the name Pethia punctata. Its description in RNAcentral is "partial large subunit ribosomal RNA". It matches the Rfam family "Bacterial large subunit ribosomal RNA", at positions 1872 to 2624 of the family's 2925-position model. Lineage: Eukaryota; Metazoa; Chordata; Actinopteri; Cypriniformes; Cyprinidae. The record is from RNAcentral.
AAAAGGAGCAAGAAUGCGUGACUAGAAGGAAAGGCUGUAUGCCAAAUGACCAUGGGUUUUUGGCCGCGGUAUUUUGACCGUGCACAGGUAGCGCAAUCACUUGUCUUUUAAAUAAAGACCUGUAUGAAUGGCUAAACGAGGGCUUAACUGUCUCCCAUCUCUAGUCAGUGAAAUUGAUCUCCCCGUGCAGAAGCGGGCAUAAAAAUCCAGAGACGAGAAGACCCUUUGGAGCUUAAGGUACAAAACUCAACCACGUUAAACAACUCUAUAAAAAGCAGCUUAAACCUUGUGGAUACUGAGACCAUACCUUCGGUUGGGGCGACCACGGAGGAAAAUAAAGCCUCCAAGUGGACUAGGGCCAACCCCCUAAAACUAAGAGAGACAUCUCUAAGCAACAGACAUCUGACCAUACAUGAUCCCGGCUAACCCAGCCGAUCAACGAACCAAGUUACCCUAGGGAUACCAGCGCAUCCCCUCCCAGAGUCCAUAUCGACGAGGGGGGUUUACGACCUCGAUUGUCGCAUCAGGACAUCCUAAUGUUGCAGCCGCUUAUAAGGAUUCGAUUUGUUCCACCGAUUAAAGUCCUUACCGUGGAUCUGAGUUCACAACACGAGA